Non-coding RNA from Pantherophis guttatus, 1529 nucleotides. The record is from RefSeq and is a predicted model, not a curated record. NCBI's taxonomy places the organism in Eukaryota, Metazoa, Chordata, Lepidosauria, Squamata, Colubridae.
UUCCGCGCAGGCGCUUGCCUGAUACGGCACCUGGUUGACCCAGAUUCUUAUCGCCCGCUUCCGCUCCCUUGCGGACGUCGAAGUUUGUUGCCCUAUCCCUGAACCCUCAUCUUGCAUUAUAAAGGAGAAUGUAUGUGAGCUAUGCCUUUCUUGCUGUCCGGAUAUCUGAAAGAGAGAAGCAGCCAGGAAACCUCAGCAACAAAGGAGGAACUUCAGCAACAAAGGAGGAGAAACAGUGCCAAGGGGCUUCGCUGCUCAGAGUGGGUGGUCUGGGUUCAGACCUAGACAGAUACUGGCACUAACUCAAGUAAUUAGUGAUCAAUGUUAUUUGUACACUGCUGCUUUUGCAAUGACACAAUAUUGGAAAAAUUAAACUUAUCGCCACCACUGCCACCCUCCUUUUUUUUUUUUUAAUGUGGGAGAGGAAUACUUCACAGAAUGUCUGUAUAGGGUAUUCGCAGAUGACCUACAAGAAAUGUAAACAUUAACUACUGCAUUGAGGUCUAUGCCAAAAAAAGCAGUACAUUUUUUGGGAAGCAGGUUUGUUAUUCAUAAGAUCAACAGCACAAUAAUUGUGAAACCGGACCAGCCCACUCACUCAUCCCUCUUCCAAACCAAUCCAGUGUAGUAGUGUUAUAAUCCAGGUUAUACUUAAACUGCUUUCCAAAUCCUUCCUAUUCCCUGACCAUCAUGUUGUUUUCUUGUUUUAUUGAAAUCUGGCAUGUUUCUAACUGGGCUCAAGGUUUUGUGCAAAGAGUCAGAGUACUCACUUCGAGCAUGGUGUCUAUGCCUUAUUUGUUGAUUUGAAGAGACUUGCUGUACUAGGACAUAAUCCACAUUCAAAUAGACUGAGCUAUUCAGCACAGCUCUCCGCUCUCAUUCCCUUAUUCCUCAGGAUGCACCUUUGCUACUUAAUCAAGAGUUCAACAAUACAGUGUCUGUAACCAGAUUCAGAAACUUUGCCACAAAGCAUUACUUUAAGAAGAAAUUGCAACUCUGCUACUCAAAAUGAUUUGAAAAUUAAACAAAAUUAGAUGCUGACUUCAGCUACCCAACUUUGGAACAAGGAGGAAGAUUAUUUUCAUUGAUUCUUUCUUCCACUUGCAACAUUCUCUGCCACUUCCAGUGCUCAUUUGGAGAGUCACUCCUACGUUCAGGGACAAAUGGCCAAUUUCAAUUCACUGCAGGAAGGUUCCCUAAAUAAAAUUUCCAUUGUUUAAUUUAACUCAUUGUUCUUUAAAUUUUCUUUUCUUGGAUUCAUGAUUCAGGUAAUUUUCUGGAUAAUGUUUAAUCUUUUAGUAAGCUUUAGAAAUGACUACCCAUAAUUUUAAUUAAAAAAUCUAACUGGUUUAUUUAGCUUUUCCUAAUCUGAUCCAUAACAAUGUAUUACUUUUUCGUAUGGGAACAUAGUAUGUUUAUUGUAUAAAGGAUAACCCUCAAGGUAGACACAUUUCUAUCAUAAGGUGUAUUCUGUAAAGGAGAGGUUUAUUUCUGGCUAUAUGAAUAAAUGACAUUUUCUGUUAAUGACU